This 1431-nucleotide long non-coding RNA is filed under the name Bos indicus x Bos taurus (hybrid cattle). RNAcentral describes it as "lncRNA (ENSBIXG00000009725.1)". Lineage: Eukaryota; Metazoa; Chordata; Mammalia; Artiodactyla; Bovidae. The record is from RNAcentral.
GCGACGUGCUGGAGCCCGUGGGCUGCCUGGCUCCCGCAUGGUUGCUAGCUGCACAUGUGGGCCUUGGAGGUCCAGCCCAGGGGUGCCGCGCCCCGGAGGAGAAGGCACUGGGCCCGAGAGCCAACGGGGCGCGAGGGACGGCCCUGCUGGGGCCUGGCGCUUCACCGUCCGCCCGGUGCUCCCAGGUCCAGCACGUCGUCCCUUUGUCAGGACCAUCCUGGGGGGCCGCCAGGCGGAGGUCACUGCUGGAAAUGGAGGCUCAAGGGAGGCGGUGCUCCACCCCAGGGCACAGAGCCCCCGGCGGGGCCAAGCCCUCUCCUCCGUCGUGUGCGGCCCACCAGGAGCGCCCCCAGCAGUGUCACAACCAAGAGUCUCCGGCCUCGCUGAGUGUCCCCUGGGGGCCUUUCGUCCGCAGCAGGGGACAAAGCAAAGCCCCGCCACCUUCCUGGAGCUGAAAGUCUUUGAGGGGACACAGAGAAGGAAAUGGCCAGGUUGGGUCGCUGAGGGACCCAGGAGAGGAGGGCGGCGGGUCUCACUCAGGGAUGGGCAUUCCUGGAGUUUCUGGAGCAUCCGUGGGUUGUGGCAGAAAAGGAAAGUGAAGGGCUCCAUGAGGAGUCUCUGUGUUCUGAUUCGGGUCAGCUCUGUCUUUUCUCAGAAGCAAAAGCAAAGGCUGGGGCUUCUUUUACUAACUGCCCGUUGGACUCUUCCUUCGUCGUUGAAUGUUACCACGGCCGGGUCGGGCUUGCGGGGACCCUGGGGUGCUCUCGGGUUUCGUAGAGGACACAGCGGAGGGCAAAUAGCGCCCUCGGGAGGGACCACCUGCUUGGGGAGCGGCUCUGAGAAGCCGCUUGGAGCGGAAAAUGCUGGCAUGGAAGUGUGCAGGCGAGCCUUUGGUGGGACUGGGUGUCUCCUGGGCCUCGGGAGGGACGGGGGUGCCCGGGAGCUGAGGCUGGCUUCAACCCCAGCAGCUUGUGUCAGCCAGUUUGAUGUGGGACUUGGAGGGGCCAGGAGCCCUCACAUCUGGGUCCCACCGCUCUGGGCCAAGCCCCGUGAUUCCUAACCCCAAGUCCUCCAGGCUCAGAGGGCUCACUGUCUAAGGCACAGGCCAAUAGGCAGCCUCAUCAGUCGUCAUUCUCACCCCCGGGGUCCUCCCUGUAUAAAGGCACCUGCUUCAUCGAAGGCUGAGACUGUCCACAGUGGCCACUGGUCAUGCGGCCCCUCACUGGUCUGUGCGUCAGGGCACGGCUGGGCCCACUGCCUGCAGAUGUCCCGGAACAUCCCUGUGCCCAGCGUGUGCCCGGAGCACAGUAGGUGCAGGGCAUGGCUGUGCAUGGACGGGAGGGGUGGACAACCGGCCCCUCAGACUGGCCCCUCCUGCUGAGUCCGGCCUAGCAAUGCCCUGGGUGGGUGAGUCUGGUUGUUAGUCCUCCC